Molecule: ribosomal RNA, 2900 nt
Filed under: Klebsiella pneumoniae
Lineage: Bacteria; Pseudomonadati; Pseudomonadota; Gammaproteobacteria; Enterobacterales; Enterobacteriaceae
Description: bacterial LSU rRNA
Rfam family: Bacterial large subunit ribosomal RNA
Source: RNAcentral
UUAAGCGACUAAGCGUACACGGUGGAUGCCCUGGCAGUCAGAGGCGAUGAAGGACGUGCUAAUCUGCGAAAAGCGUCGGUAAGGUGAUAUGAACCGUUAUAACCGGCGAUGUCCGAAUGGGGAAACCCAGUGCAAUUCGUUGCACUAUCGUUAACUGAAUACAUAGGUUAACGAGGCGAACCGGGGGAACUGAAACAUCUAAGUACCCCGAGGAAAAGAAAUCAACCGAGAUUCCCCCAGUAGCGGCGAGCGAACGGGGAGCAGCCCAGAGUCUGAAUCAGCUUGUGUGUUAGUGGAACGGUCUGGAAAGUCCGACGGUACAGGGUGAUAGUCCCGUACACCAAAAUGCACAGGCUGUGAACUCGAAGAGUAGGGCGGGACACGUGGUAUCCUGUCUGAAUAUGGGGGGACCAUCCUCCAAGGCUAAAUACUCCUGACUGACCGAUAGUGAACCAGUACCGUGAGGGAAAGGCGAAAAGAACCCCGGCGAGGGGAGUGAAAAAGAACCUGAAACCGUGUACGUACAAGCAGUGGGAGCACCUUCGGGUGUGACUGCGUACCUUUUGUAUAAUGGGUCAGCGACUUAUAUUCUGUAGCAAGGUUAACCGUAUAGGGGAGCCGCAGGGAAACCGAGUCUUAACUGGGCGUUAAGUUGCAGGGUAUAGACCCGAAACCCGGUGAUCUAGCCAUGGGCAGGUUGAAGGUUGGGUAACACUAACUGGAGGACCGAACCGACUAAUGUUGAAAAAUUAGCGGAUGACUUGUGGCUGGGGGUGAAAGGCCAAUCAAACCGGGAGAUAGCUGGUUCUCCCCGAAAGCUAUUUAGGUAGCGCCUCGUGAACUCAUCUUCGGGGGUAGAGCACUGUUUCGGCUAGGGGGUCAUCCCGACUUACCAACCCGAUGCAAACUACGAAUACCGAAGAAUGUUAUCACGGGAGACACACGGCGGGUGCUAACGUCCGUCGUGAAGAGGGAAACAACCCAGACCGCCAGCUAAGGUCCCAAAGUCAUGGUUAAGUGGGAAACGAUGUGGGAAGGCACAGACAGCCAGGAUGUUGGCUUAGAAGCAGCCAUCAUUUAAAGAAAGCGUAAUAGCUCACUGGUCGAGUCGGCCUGCGCGGAAGAUGUAACGGGGCUAAACCAUGCACCGAAGCUGCGGCAGCGACACUAUGUGUUGUUGGGUAGGGGAGCGUUCUGUAAGCCUGCGAAGGUGUGCUGUGAGGCAUGCUGGAGGUAUCAGAAGUGCGAAUGCUGACAUAAGUAACGAUAAAGCGGGUGAAAAGCCCGCUCGCCGGAAGACCAAGGGUUCCUGUCCAACGUUAAUCGGGGCAGGGUGAGUCGACCCCUAAGGCGAGGCCGAAAGGCGUAGUCGAUGGGAAACAGGUUAAUAUUCCUGUACUUGGUGUUACUGCGAAGGGGGGGACGGAGAAGGCUAUGUUAGCCGGGCGACGGUUGUCCCGGUUUAAGCAUGUAGGCUGGUUAUCCAGGCAAAUCCGGAUAAUCAAGGCUGAGGUGUGAUGACGAGGCACUACGGUGCUGAAGUAACAAAUGCCCUGCUUCCAGGAAAAGCCUCUAAGCAUCAGGUAACAUUAAAUCGUACCCCAAACGACACAGGUGGUCAGGUAGAGAAUACCAAGGCGCUUGAGAGAACUCGGGUGAAGGAACUAGGCAAAAUGGUGCCGUAACUUCGGGAGAAGGCACGCUGGUGUGUAGGUGAAGCCCCUGCGGGUGGAGCUGAGACCAGUCGAAGAUACCAGCUGGCUGCAACUGUUUAUUAAAAACACAGCACUGUGCAAACACGAAAGUGGACGUAUACGGUGUGACGCCUGCCCGGUGCCGGAAGGUUAAUUGAUGGGGUUAUCCGUAAGGAGAAGCUCUUGAUCGAAGCCCCGGUAAACGGCGGCCGUAACUAUAACGGUCCUAAGGUAGCGAAAUUCCUUGUCGGGUAAGUUCCGACCUGCACGAAUGGCGUAAUGAUGGCCAGGCUGUCUCCACCCGAGACUCAGUGAAAUUGAACUCGCUGUGAAGAUGCAGUGUACCCGCGGCAAGACGGAAAGACCCCGUGAACCUUUACUAUAGCUUGACACUGAACAUUGAGCCUUGAUGUGUAGGAUAGGUGGGAGGCUUUGAAGCGUGGACGCCAGUCUGCGUGGAGCCAACCUUGAAAUACCACCCUUUAAUGUUUGAUGUUCUAACGUUGGCCCCUUACCGGGGUUGCGGACAGUGUCUGGUGGGUAGUUUGACUGGGGCGGUCUCCUCCCAAAGCGUAACGGAGGAGCACGAAGGUUAGCUAAUCCUGGUCGGACAUCAGGAGGUUAGUGCAAUGGCAUAAGCUAGCUUGACUGCGAGCGUGACGGCGCGAGCAGGUGCGAAAGCAGGUCAUAGUGAUCCGGUGGUUCUGAAUGGAAGGGCCAUCGCUCAACGGAUAAAAGGUACUCCGGGGAUAACAGGCUGAUACCGCCCAAGAGUUCAUAUCGACGGCGGUGUUUGGCACCUCGAUGUCGGCUCAUCACAUCCUGGGGCUGAAGUAGGUCCCAAGGGUAUGGCUGUUCGCCAUUUAAAGUGGUACGCGAGCUGGGUUUAGAACGUCGUGAGACAGUUCGGUCCCUAUCUGCCGUGGGCGCUGGAGAAUUGAGGGGGGCUGCUCCUAGUACGAGAGGACCGGAGUGGACGCAUCACUGGUGUUCGGGUUGUCAUGCCAAUGGCACUGCCCGGUAGCUAAAUGCGGAAGAGAUAAGUGCUGAAAGCAUCUAAGCACGAAACUUGCCCCGAGAUGAGUUCUCCCUGAGACUUUAAGUCUCCUGAAGGAACGUUAAAGACGAUGACGUUGAUAGGCCGGGUGUGUAAGCGCAGCGAUGCGUUGAGCUAACCGGUACUAAUGAACCGUGAGGCUUAACCUU